UGGGGAAUAUUGCACAAUGGAGGGAACUCUGAUGCAGCGACGCCGCGUGAGUGAUGAAGGACUUCGUUUCGUAAAACUCUGUUCUAUGGGAAGAAAAGGACUGUACCAUAGGAGAAAGCUCCGGCUAAAUACGUGCCAGCAGCCGCGGUAAUACGUAUGGAGCGAGCGUUGUCCGGAAUUAUUGGGCGUAAAGGGUGCGCAGGCGGCUUUACAAGUUGGAUGUGAAAUAUUGUGGCUCAACCACAAACGUGCAUCCAAAACUGCAAAGCUUGAGUUAAGGAGAGGUAAGUGGAAUUCCUGGUGUAGCGGUGGAAUGCGUAGAUAUCAGGAGGAAUACCGGUGGCGAAGGCGACUUACUGGACUUAAACUGACGCUCAUGCACGAAAGCGUGGGGAGCAAACAGG
Molecule: ribosomal RNA, 404 nt
Filed under: Fusobacteriota bacterium
Lineage: Bacteria; Fusobacteriati; Fusobacteriota
Description: Fusobacteria bacterium partial 16S ribosomal RNA
Rfam family: Bacterial small subunit ribosomal RNA
Source: RNAcentral